This 664-nucleotide ribosomal RNA is filed under the name uncultured bacterium. RNAcentral's name for it is "bacterial SSU rRNA". It matches the Rfam family "Bacterial small subunit ribosomal RNA", at positions 8 to 690 of the family's 1533-position model. The record is from RNAcentral.
AGAGUUUGAUCCUGGCUCAGGAUGAACGCUAGCGGCAGGCUUAAUACAUGCAAGUCGAGGGGCAGCGCAGUGUAGCAAUACAUGGGCGGCGACCGGCAAACGGGUGCGGAACACGUACGCAACCUUCCUUUAAGUGUGGGAUAGCUUCCGGAAACGGAAAUUAAUACCACGUAACAUCACGGGAUGGCAUCAUUUUGUGAUUAUAGCUCCGGCGCUUAAAGAUGGGCGUGCGCCUGAUUAGGUAGUUGGCGGAGUAACAGCCCACCAAGCCUACGAUCAGUAACUGGUGUGAGAGCACGACCAGUCACACGGGCACUGAGACACGGGCCCGACUCCUACGGGAGGCAGCAGUAAGGAACAUUGGUCAAUGGACGCAAGUCUGAACCAGCCAUGCCGCGUGGAGGAUGAAGGUCCUCUGGAUUGUAAACUUCUUUUACGGAAAAGAAACCCCAGAAUUCUUUUUGGUUGACGUACCCGAUGAAUAAGCACCGGCUAAUUCCUGGCAGCAGCCGCGGUAUACGGAGGGUGAAGCGUUUCCCGGAUCACUGGGUUUAAGGGUGCGAAGCGGGUUUUAAGCAAAGUGAAAUCCUGGACUCACUCCAAACUGCCUUUUGAACUGAAAUCUUGAUAUGGAAAGCGAGUGAAUGCAGUGAAGGGAAAUCUA